Hypomesus transpacificus is the source of this 257-nucleotide long non-coding RNA. RefSeq lists it as uncharacterized. The transcript is spliced from 3 exons. The record is from RefSeq and is a predicted model, not a curated record. NCBI's taxonomy places the organism in Eukaryota, Metazoa, Chordata, Actinopteri, Osmeriformes, Osmeridae.
GGGCAGGUGGAGAAGAACGGGAUAGGUAGUGAAGCAGACAAAUGAGCACCACACCAAAUGUUUCUGUUUCAAUUUUCCCGGUGUCCACAUUUCUGAAGACUUCUCCUGGUCCCUUAAACCUCAGUGCAAGAAAGGUGAAACAUUGGUAAUGAAAUGUGUUACACUUCAGUAGUUGUCUUAACUAAGACAUUUAUAAAUACCACUUUAAUGUAUUAUGAUUUAUAUGGGAAAAUGUAUUGGUAAUAUAUGUAAAGAUA